AUACAAUUUAGCGAAUAAUUAAAGACUCUAGUAUAGUAAUUAAUACAUGGAAAGAACCCAUUUGAAGCCAUGAUAUUAAAUAAUAAUUACUUAUGUUGACAUUUUUCAUAAUAUCUAUAAUAAUAUCACCACGGAUAAUACUUAUAUUUUUCUUAUUCAAAUGAUUUAAUAAUAAUUCUAAAUCAUAGAUAAAUAUAUAUAUCAUAAUUGGAAGAUCAAUAAACACAAAAUAAAGAUAAUAGGUACUACACUAUUUAUCAUAUGAGUAAGACGUAUUGAAUUACAGUUUUUGGUUAUACGACAUUUGGUGCGGGACAAUUGGGCGCGGACAUUUGAGUGCGGAAAAUUGGGUGCGAGACAUUUGGGUGCAAUGGCAAUUAGGUGCAGUACAUUUGGACGAACAUUUAUUAUUUAAUUAAAAUUGUAUUAAUACUAUAAUAGAAAAUCUUUUUUAGAAUAUUUUGCUUAAACUCGAUAAUAUAGGUAGUAUUAUAAAAUCUACAAAAUUUGUAUUAAUUUUAGUUACUAUCAAUAAUUUUUUUUAAGUGUAUAUAAAUAUUUGAUUAGAUAUAUUAAAGCUGU
Non-coding RNA from Cinara cedri, 582 nucleotides. The record is from the annotation of a GenBank genome assembly. Lineage: Eukaryota; Metazoa; Arthropoda; Insecta; Hemiptera; Aphididae.